AUACGGAGGGUGCAAGCGUUACUCGGAAUCACUGGGCGUAAAGCGCGCGCAGGCGGCCAUUUAAGUUGGAUGUGAAAGCCUACGGCUCAACCGUAGAACUGCAUCCAAAACUAUUUGGCUAGAGUGUGGGAGAGGAAGAUGGAAUUAGUUGUGUAGGAGUAAAAUCCGUAGAGAUAACUAGGAAUACCAAAAGCGAAGGCAAUCUUCUGGAACACUACUGACGCUGAGGCGCGAAAGCGUGGGGAGCAAACGGGAUUAGAAACCCCAGUAGUCC
This 274-nucleotide ribosomal RNA is filed under the name uncultured bacterium. RNAcentral's name for it is "partial 16S ribosomal RNA". It matches the Rfam family "Bacterial small subunit ribosomal RNA", at positions 523 to 796 of the family's 1533-position model. The record is from RNAcentral.